UCGUGUGGAGGCAGAGAAAGGAAGACGAGCGCGGGGAACGGUAAAUCAGAAGGCGGCCGCCGCGGCCUCGGUGGCGCUGCUUGGGUCACUGAAGAUGGGGAAGAUGGAGAGGGGAGAGAAGCGUAGCAGGGCGGUCGCGGCGGCGCUAGAAGUUUGAGUGAUUGGAGCGCCGGCGAAAGGAGGAGCGCAGCAUCGACCCAGCCUGCCUGCCGCCGACGACCAAGCCUCAGGUCAGGAUCGCUCACAGGCAAAACGAAUCGACAAUUCUGGCUUCAAGUUUCCAAAGACCUUGUACCCAGAAUCUUCUAAGAAUCAAAUCAAGGGGAGAGGGGAGAAUACGCCCCGGCAGCUCCCCGAGAACGAGCGUCCAUUUCCUACAUCUCGGGGAAGCGGAAGCGCCCUGAACCCCUCGCCGAUUCGAGCGACGACUACUCAAGAAGUUUCCUUCCCUCUCACGACAAUGACGCCAACGGCCGCCUCAGUUCAUUGAAAAUAUGAAGGGGAGCAGCGUAGUGGUUGCUGUUUUCUUUGUCGGGUGCCUAAUCAUGGUUGGACAAUGUCGCCCCGACCCCAAGAGCACCUACAAAGAUGGCCAUGACAACACGACUAUGGUGGCCUCAUCAUUAGAUGAGAGCAAACUUACCAUAAAAUGGUGUGUCGCAAGGAAUUGUAACACCAAAGGUGAACCAAAUGCCCAUCACUGCUUUUGCUGCCUCAAUGCGCGCGGGGGGGGAGGCACCUUGUUUUAGUUCCAGAGGAGAUUGCCAGGAUCACUGCCCAACUUUGCCACCCGGAAAAUAAGGAUGUUCUAGCUGAUAUGUAUUUGAUCGCAUCCCUUUUAGUUCCAUAGGAGAUUGCCAGGAUCACUGCCCAACUUUGUCACACGGAAAAUAAGGAUGUUCUAGCUGAUAUGUAUUUGAUCACAUCCCUACCUAGCUGUAGCAUCGUCGCCGAUCUAGGCAUCUGUGUAGGUCUUCGUAAAGGAUGCAACAUGUGGCUGGGAUAUUCACUAGCGGUGGGAUCUGUGUGAAUCUAUUUUCAUUCAUGUAUUUGAAGAAUUCUAGUUGAUGUAAGCUCACAAAACCUCCAAUUAGAGCAGAUGGGAUACGUUUGCAGAUCAUAAAUUCUGCACCCGAUAUCAGUGGCGAGCAUGCUAUUUUGCAUCUUAAUUUGUUGUGCUUCCAGUACGCCUUGUUUAUAUAGUGAUAGCAAUCUUUUUUGCUUCAUGCAUUCGUGCUUCCUACGUACAGCGGAAUUUCAAUCUAUUUCCAUGCUUCUAGGUAGCUUCCUAUGUACU
Triticum aestivum (bread wheat) is the source of this 1297-nucleotide long non-coding RNA. RefSeq lists it as uncharacterized. NCBI's taxonomy places the organism in Eukaryota, Viridiplantae, Streptophyta, Magnoliopsida, Poales, Poaceae. The record is from RefSeq and is a predicted model, not a curated record. The transcript is spliced from 5 exons.